GAUGAACGCUAGCGACAGGCCUAACACAUGCAAGUCGAGGGGCAGCGGGGAGCGAAGCUUGCUUUGCUCCGCCGGCGACCGGCGCACGGGUGAGUAACGCGUAUGCAACCUGCCCGUUUCAGCGGGAUAACCCGGAGAAAUCCGGCCUAAUACCGCAUGUGGCCGAGGGGAGGCAUCUUCUUUCGGCCAAAGGAGGCGACUCCGGAGACGGAUGGGCAUGCGUGACAUUAGCUUGUUGGCGGGGUAACGGCCCACCAAGGCGACGAUGUCUAGGGGUUCUGAGAGGAAGGUCCCCCACACUGGUACUGAGACACGGCCCAA
Molecule: ribosomal RNA, 321 nt
Filed under: uncultured bacterium
Lineage: Bacteria
Description: bacterial SSU rRNA
Rfam family: Bacterial small subunit ribosomal RNA
Source: RNAcentral